RNAcentral lists this ribosomal RNA (294 nucleotides) under Candidatus Competibacteraceae bacterium. RNAcentral describes it as "partial 23S ribosomal RNA". It matches the Rfam family "Bacterial large subunit ribosomal RNA", at positions 2636 to 2925 of the family's 2925-position model. The record is from RNAcentral. Lineage: Bacteria; Pseudomonadati; Pseudomonadota; Gammaproteobacteria; Candidatus Competibacteraceae.
CCCUAUCUGCCGUGGGCGUUGGAGAUUUGAGGGGAGCUGUCCUUAGUACGAGAGGACCGGGAUGGACGCACCACUGGUGUUCGGGUUGUCAUGCCAAUGGCACUGCCCGGUAGCUAUGUGCGGACGGGAUAACCGCUGAAAGCAUCUAAGCGGGAAGCCCCCCCCAAGAUAAGAUCUCCCGAGGCCGUGAGCCUCCUUAAGGUCCGUUCGAGACCAGGACGUUGAUAGGCGGGAUGUGGACGCGCAGUAAUGUGUGAAGCUAACCCGUACUAAUUGACCGUGCGGCUUGACCAU